This is a long non-coding RNA of Mercenaria mercenaria, 532 nucleotides long. RefSeq lists it as uncharacterized. The transcript is spliced from 3 exons. The record is from RefSeq and is a predicted model, not a curated record. NCBI's taxonomy places the organism in Eukaryota, Metazoa, Mollusca, Bivalvia, Venerida, Veneridae.
AUCCCGGUGGCAUCUCUUUCUGACGGUAUAAGCAAACAAACGGAGUUUACUCCUCUGUACCUGUGCACUUUGGACACAGGAAGGAGUCACCUCUUCUAAUAACCCUGACUGGGGAACAGAAUCCAAGGUGUACCCAGCCAUUGCAUUUAUCACAGCAUGCCCAAGAGACUAUGGUUAGACUGAUGCAAUUCUUGAGCUCCUCAGGAUGGAAUUUUUGACAAAUGCAGCACACAUCAGUGUCAUCUUCAGAUUCAGAAGAGGAAGAGUAUUCUGUCUGGGCUGCCUGAAUACCAGAUGUACUCGGAAUGGGUUCAGUGACGGAAGAGCCUUGCAUCAGUAUUGCAGUCAUCAACAGCCAGGGCCUGUUCUUGUUCAUGGUUCUCUGUGGUAUCAGGUGCUGGUCUAAAAACUGAAGCAGGUGCAAGAGCAGAAUCUGGCACUACAUUUGGGUUAAAUGGAUAUACCCCACAAUGUUUGAAGGCGGACUGGAUGUUACUUGCAGAAAGAGAAGAAGUGUAUGCCUUACAGCCAA